CUCAUAAAGUGCGUCGUAGUCCGGAUUGGAGUCUGCAACUCGACUCCAUGAAGUCGGAAUCGCUAGUAAUCGUGGAUCAGAAUGCCACGGUGAAUACGUUCCCGGGCCUUGUACACACCGCCCGUCACACCAUGGGAGUGGGUUGCAAAAGAAGUAGGUAGCUUAACCUUCGGGAGGGCGCUUACCACUUUGUGAUUCAUGACUGGGGUGAAGUCGUAACAAGGUAACCGUAGGGGAACCUGC
This 243-nucleotide ribosomal RNA is filed under the name Salmonella enterica subsp. enterica serovar Derby. RNAcentral describes it as "partial 16S ribosomal RNA". It matches the Rfam family "Bacterial small subunit ribosomal RNA", at positions 1273 to 1515 of the family's 1533-position model. RNAcentral also lists the same sequence under 2 other names. Lineage: Bacteria; Pseudomonadati; Pseudomonadota; Gammaproteobacteria; Enterobacterales; Enterobacteriaceae. The record is from RNAcentral.